Molecule: ribosomal RNA, 301 nt
Filed under: uncultured bacterium
Lineage: Bacteria
Description: partial 16S ribosomal RNA
Rfam family: Bacterial small subunit ribosomal RNA
Source: RNAcentral
CAGCCGCCGCGGGAAUACGUAGGUGGCAAGCGUUGUCCGGAAUUAUUGGGCGUAAAGGGCUCGCAGGCGGUUUCUUAAGUCUGAUGUGAAAGCCCCCGGCUCAACCGGGGAGGGUCAUUGGAAACUGGGAAAUUUGAGUGCAGAAGAGGAGAGUGGAAUUCCACGUGUAGCGGUGAAAUGCGUAGAGAUGUGGAGGAACACCAGUGGCGAAGGCGACUCUCUGGUCUGUAACUGACGCUGAGGAGCGAAAGCGUAGGGAGCGAACAGGAUUAGAUACCCCAGUAGUCCCUGUCUCUUAUAC